GUCCGUCCGUACGGAUCCGCCUUUUUACUGCUAUCUCGUCCUCUUAAAGUCAUUGGCACAGUGCUAGCAAUCUACAGCAGAUAGCAUCCACGCUGUUUGUCUAGACACCCACUAAUGACCUUGCAGUCAAGGACGACGCGUACAGUGUGGACUAGUCCUGGAACAGAAACACAGAAAGAAAAAAAGAAAAGGCAGCCACCUGCCACAACACUGGGCAAUUGACAUACUGUUAAUUGUUAGUCCUUUGUAGGUCGUCAUGCCAUUCGAAAACAGUCCCUAGGCUUUUAAACGUUACAACCCUAAACCUGUUGUACGAGGAGUGAUGCUUGUGAUGAAAACGUUGACUAAACCGCAUUGUCUUCGGCAGUUUUACCUCCUACGGUUCAUAUCUUAACGAGAUUGUUCAAAGAGGCUCUCGAGACGGCAAUCCGUUGACGUUUGCUUGAUCGUCUCUCAGAACCUGCGUGUUUUUUUUUUAAUAACAAUGAGUAGCAAUCCAGUCUCAAGCUCCAGAAAUAACUCAUGAAGCGGAGGCUGUGGCGUUGCCUGGGGUGUUGAGCUGUUACUAAAUAGUGGUUGAACUACACGGUUUCACUCGUAUUGGUAUAUUCAAUUACAAUUCGAUAUAUUCAAGAGAAGGCGGAAGGUGUGCUCAGCUGAAGCAAUGGUCCCAGGUAUUUGAGCUAUGCUAAGAUAGCGCCACACCCUUGGUGUCAAUUAAAACAGCGCUUCGUGUUUCACAGGAGCGCCUACCUGUAUCGACAGGCACCUGGAUCAGCAGGCUGUAAGCAAAACCGAGGGCAGCGCGCAGCGCCGUUCUGCACCAUCGCAAGAUCCCCACACCUGCUUCAGAAGCCUAGAAAUGGAUCGAACAGGUGUAUCUCGGAGUCAAGACGAAAGCUCCGGAGACAAGGAGGUCUCUAGCUCAGAAGAACAUGAUCCAGAAGCUGAAAGAGUUGGGCAGACCGUCAGCGGUAAAUCAAUUUGAACAUUUCUACAUAAGCUCACUCUAAGUGAAGCUCUAUACUUCAUUUCUGAUUAAUGAACUACCCCCCCUUAAUUUAGAAUACAGGAAAUCUGUAUGUUUUCUAAGCUUGUAAACACAC
This 1106-nucleotide long non-coding RNA is filed under the name Lepisosteus oculatus (spotted gar). RNAcentral's name for it is "lncRNA (ENSLOCG00000022018.1)". The record is from RNAcentral. Lineage: Eukaryota; Metazoa; Chordata; Actinopteri; Semionotiformes; Lepisosteidae.